This 356-nucleotide unclassified non-coding RNA is filed under the name plant metagenome. RNAcentral describes it as "partial contains small subunit ribosomal RNA, internal transcribed spacer 1, and 5.8S ribosomal RNA". The record is from RNAcentral.
UUUCCGUAGGUGAACCUGCGGAAGGAUCAUUAACAAAUUUGUGUAGUAGUUGUGGGUGGGUUGGGUGAGUGUGUGGUAAAAGUCAAUCUCUUUCAAGAAGAUUGAUUGAUCGGAUCCACAGCACACUGGGUUGGGUGGGUGUGGAGUAAAAGUCGAUCUUGAAAGAGAUUGAUCGGAUCCACAGCACACUGGGUUGGGUGAGUGUGGAGUAAAGUCAAUCUUGAAAGAGAUUGAUCGGAUCCACAGCCACAGCCACACCACACCACAGCAACAACAUUCACUGCUUGUUGUGUAUUGACUGUUAUAAAAUCACAAUGUAAUUUAGACAACUUUUAACAAUGGAUCUCUUGGCUCUU